Molecule: ribosomal RNA, 235 nt
Filed under: uncultured bacterium
Lineage: Bacteria
Description: partial 16S ribosomal RNA
Rfam family: Bacterial small subunit ribosomal RNA
Source: RNAcentral
CGGACGGGUGAGUAACGCGUGGGUAACCUGCCUUGUACAGGGGGAUAACAGUUGGAAACGGCUGCUAAUACCGCAUAAGCGCACGGCAUCGCAUGAUGCAGUGUGAAAAACUCCGGUGGUAUAAGAUGGACCCGCGUUGGAUUAGCUAGUUGGUGAGGUAACGGCCCACCAAGGCGACGAUCCAUAGCCGACCUGAGAGGGUGACCGGCCACAUUGGGACUGAGACACGGUCCAA